Long non-coding RNA from Vitis riparia (riverbank grape), 1477 nucleotides. RefSeq lists it as uncharacterized. The record is from RefSeq and is a predicted model, not a curated record. NCBI's taxonomy places the organism in Eukaryota, Viridiplantae, Streptophyta, Magnoliopsida, Vitales, Vitaceae. The transcript is spliced from 4 exons.
AUCCUCCAUCUUCUCCUUCUCUAUGAUCCCAACUCCAUUGUCACCCCACCUCUUCUUUCUCUGCAAUGUACCCAUUUCCUCAUUUCUCACUCCCUUCUUAAAUUUUCCAUCUGGGUUUUGCUGGCUUUUGUUUGGUCUCUGAGAUUCUGGCUGAAAUCGUGGUCUAUUCGGUGGCGAGUCUUCUCUGUUUGGAUUGCAUUGAUCUUGUACAUUUUUCCGUCUGGAUCUGUUUGGUUUGGUUGGUUUUGACUGCAUUUUCUCCUAGUUGUUGCUGUGCUCUUGGAUUCUCCAUUUGGGUGCAAUUGGGUCUGUGAUUUUUCUGAUUGGAGCGUGUGAUCUGGGGCUUCUAGUGCCUUUGCUCAGUUAGUAAAGCAGCAGAAGGCACCAUUUGUUCAAGACCGUAGUUCAAACAUUUAGGAGCCAUUUGGGGGUUGACAGCAAACAGGGUUACAAGUCAUUCGUAAAAUUCAACAUUCCUCCUUGGGGUGGAAAAGCUGUGCUAAGAAGAAAGGAGGAAGCUAGUGUUUGGAAGCUGUGGGGGUCUCUUUGCGGGAGGUUUUGCAGGAGAGAGAGAGAGCUGGGUGAGAGGAAAACUGUACGAGCUGUGAGGGCCACCCACUUCUCUCACUCGGGCAUCAGGAAGUUCUUUUCUGAGUUUGCCCUCCAGACGAGAGAAUCCCUAAAAAGGCCUUAUUUUCCUCUGCCACUCUCAAUCCUCGCAGUCUGUGGGGUGCUUUGUCUGGUCAAGGGCACCUAGAGUUGUUCUCUUACAUUAAAGGCCUCCCCUGCUUCAAAUCCACUCAGUAGAUGUUUUCUUCAUCCUUGAUGAACUGAGGUUAAUACAAUGCCCCUAUUCCAUUCAUAUUUCUCGGAGCAAAUACUUCACUUUUAUGUAGGUUUUUCAGACUUCAUUAGCAAAUGUGAGUCACCUAGGUACUAGGUAGUAAAAAUGAGAGUCGGGAGUUGUAGUGGAGGGAUAAAAGCGUUGCCUUUGUAUUGUCACAACACUUAUUGGUGAUCCAAAGAUGAUCAUUUUAGAUGAAUUAGUAUGUAGACUAAGACUUCUUCUUGGUGCAUGUUUCUAUAUUUUAUUUGCUUUAUAAUUUAUAUGAUUUUUAUUUUUAUUUUUAGACAAUUGGUAUGGAUCCAAUAACAAGAAGGCAUGUGUGGGGCAUAAUAGAGAAUGCAAAGAAAUGGUUGCUAUUGAGUGUGAUAUUAGGACAAUGACAUACCAUUUUUUUGCAUUGUCUAUUAUGUCCCACACAUGCCUCCUUGUUAUUGGAUCCAUACUAAUUGUCUAGAAAUAAAAAGAAACUCCAUAUGAAUUAUAAAACAAAUAAAUUAAAGAAAUAUGAACCAAGGAAAGUCUCUAGUCUACAUACCAAUUAAUCUAAAAUGACAAACUUUGGAUCACCAAUAAGUGUUGUGGCAAUACUAAGAUAGCGUUUCAUUCCUCCACUAUAACUCCCAACUCUCA